RNAcentral lists this ribosomal RNA (537 nucleotides) under Chaetoceros olympicus. RNAcentral describes it as "partial large subunit ribosomal RNA". It matches the Rfam family "Eukaryotic large subunit ribosomal RNA", at positions 38 to 656 of the family's 3401-position model. Lineage: Eukaryota; Bacillariophyta; Thalassiosirophyceae; Chaetocerotales; Chaetocerotaceae. The record is from RNAcentral.
GCAUAUAAUUAAGCGGAGGAAAAGAAACUAACAAGGAUUCCCUCAGUAAGGGCGACUGAAGCGGGAAGAGCUCAGCUUGUGAAUCUGUACAGACUUGUCUGUGCCGAAUUGUAGUCUAAAGAAGCAACGUAUGUAAUUAUUUCAGACCAAGUCCUCUGGAAAGAGGCGGCUGAGAAGGUGAGACCCCUGUUCUUGUCUGAAAUAAAUGCAAUAUUCUUGCAUUCAAUGAGUCGAGUUGUUUGGGAUUGCAGCUCAAAGUGGGUGGUAAAUUCCAUCUAAAGCUAAAUAUUGGUAGGAGACCGAUAGCGAACAAGUACCGUGAGGGAAAGAUGAAAAGAACUUUGAAAAGAGAGUUAAAGAGUACCUGAAAUUGCUGAAAUGGAAGCAAAGGAAACCAGUGUUAUCUUGGCUCAUUCUUCCUAUGCUGCUUGCAACAUGGGCGCUGUGAUCUUUGAUAGGCCAACCUGGGCUUAAUUCGAGGUAAUCAACCUUGGAUUGGACUUACGUUGGCGAAAUGGUUUUCUUUACCCCGUCUUG